ACGACGCUGGCGGCGUGCUUAACACAUGCAAGUCGAACGGAGAAUUUAUUUCGGUAAAUUCUUAGUGGCGAACGGGUGAGUAACGCGUGGGCAACCUGCCCUUCAGAUGGGGACAACAUCCCGAAAGGGGUGCUAAUACCGAAUACGAUCACGCUGCCGCAUGGCGGUGUGAUGAAAGAUGGCCUCUAUUUAUAAGCUAUCGCUGAAGGAUGGGCCUGCGUCUGAUUAGCUAGUUGGUGGGGUAACGGCCUACCAAGGCGAUGAUCAGUAGCCGGUCUGAGAGGAUGAACGGCCACAUUGGGACUGAGACACGGCCCAAACUCCUACGGGAGGCAGCAGUGGGGAAUAUUCCGCAAUGGACGAAAGUCUGACGGAGCAACGCCGCGUGAGUGAUGAAGGUUUUCGGACUGUAAAGCUCUGUUGUUUAGGACGAAAGUGCCUGUUGCAAAUAGUUGCAGGUAUUGACGGUACUGAACGAGGAAGCCACGGCUAACUACGUG
This 500-nucleotide ribosomal RNA is filed under the name uncultured bacterium. Its description in RNAcentral is "bacterial SSU rRNA". It matches the Rfam family "Bacterial small subunit ribosomal RNA", at positions 33 to 507 of the family's 1533-position model. The record is from RNAcentral.